Molecule: ribosomal RNA, 253 nt
Filed under: uncultured bacterium
Lineage: Bacteria
Description: partial 16S ribosomal RNA
Rfam family: Bacterial small subunit ribosomal RNA
Source: RNAcentral
UACGAAGGGGGCUAGCGUUACUCGGAUUGACUGGGCGUAAAGGGCGCGUAGGCGGAUGGUACAGUCAGACGUGAAAUUCCUGGGCUCAACCUGGGGGCUGCGUUUGAUACGUGCUGACUGGAGUUCGGAAGAGGGUCGUGGAAUCCCCAGUGUAGAGGUGAAAUUCGUAGAUAUUGGGAAGAACACCGGUGGCGAAGGCGGCGACCUGGUCCGGUACUGACGCUGAGGUGCGAAAGCGUGGGGAGCAAACAGG